RNAcentral lists this microRNA precursor (189 nucleotides) under Oryza glumipatula. Its description in RNAcentral is "MIR812 microRNA precursor family". It matches the Rfam family "MIR812 microRNA precursor family". The record is from Rfam by way of RNAcentral. Lineage: Eukaryota; Viridiplantae; Streptophyta; Magnoliopsida; Poales; Poaceae.
UUUAAGUGCAGUUGUAGAUUUAUGUGUCCGUCAUAUUUGAUUUUUUUUUAUGAUUAGUGUUUUUUUUAUUAGAUGAUAACACAUGAAUAGUACUUUAUGCGUGACUUAUUUUUAAAUUUUUUUUUAUAAAUUUUCCAAAUAAGACGGAUGUUCAAACGUUGUACAUGGAAAUCUGCAACUGCACUUAAA